GACAGAGGGUGCAAACGUUGUUCGGAAUUACUGGGCGUAAAGCGCGUGUAGGCGGCCCUGCAAGUCGGGUGUGAAAUCCCACGGCUCAACCGUGGAACUGCUGGGUAUACUGCUUGUCUUGAGCCACUUAGGGGCUGUCGGAACAAACGGUGGAGCGGUGAAAUGCGUAGAUAUCGGGAGGAACACCGGUGGCGAAGGCGGUUCUCUGGGCCUUACCUGACGCUGAGGAGCGAAAGCGUGGGGAGCGAACAGG
RNAcentral lists this ribosomal RNA (253 nucleotides) under uncultured bacterium. RNAcentral's name for it is "partial 16S ribosomal RNA". It matches the Rfam family "Bacterial small subunit ribosomal RNA", at positions 524 to 776 of the family's 1533-position model. The record is from RNAcentral.